Molecule: long non-coding RNA, 529 nt
Organism: Solanum dulcamara
Lineage: Eukaryota; Viridiplantae; Streptophyta; Magnoliopsida; Solanales; Solanaceae
Exons: 3
Source: RefSeq, a predicted model, not a curated record
UAUUUUAGUAAAAUUGAUAACAUUGUUAGAGUCUAUAAAAUUCAACUUCAUCGAAAACCCUAGCAGCCGCUCCUGUUCAAUCAAUUUCACUAUGCAUUGGUAUAUGCAUCUAUUAUUUUCAUCUUUCAUCCAAUUCAUAGUUGUAAUUGAACUCUCACAUGAAUUUUUUGCUCACUCCCCUUGCAUCCUUUCUAAUAAAAUAAAGGGAUUUUCUAGUUCAAGGCCUAAGUGAAAGAUUUGAUGGAACAACUCUACGGAAUAUCGCCACAAAAGAUACUAGCCAGGGUGUCCAGCACGAUAGUUGAUUCUAGCAGAUACAUUCCCAUUGGAUCAUUGGUGAGAUCUUGGAAUCCAGAUCGCCUCUAGUCCAUAUUUCAAUUACAGUAUUUCCUGUACUGGAAAACUUAAACUGUGUAUUUAGACUCAUAUUUGUAUUUAGAUACUCUUAGACUUAUGACACCAAGUUUUGGAAUGUUCUCGUUGUUGUCCUUUAUUUUGUAUUUAUUUAUGGCCUGACUUUCCUUUGUGA